Molecule: small RNA, 133 nt
Filed under: Paraburkholderia xenovorans
Lineage: Bacteria; Pseudomonadati; Pseudomonadota; Betaproteobacteria; Burkholderiales; Burkholderiaceae
Also listed under: 1 other name
Description: Burkholderia xenovorans Guanidine-I sequence
Rfam family: Guanidine-I riboswitch aptamer
About the family: This family represents a conserved RNA structure found upstream of the ykkC and yxkD genes in Bacillus subtilis and related genes in other bacteria. The function of this family is unclear although it has been suggested that it may function to switch on efflux pumps and detoxification systems in response to harmful environmental molecules.
Source: RNAcentral
CUUCAGGAUCGCUAGGGUUCCGGUCGGACGCUUUCAUGCGCACGAUGCCUGGUCCGAGAGCAAUCCGGUCUUGCCGUUCACCUUCUUUCAAGGCGCCGGCGAGGCUCCACGGAGGGAUAAAAGCCCGGGAGGU